Dermacentor albipictus is the source of this 1526-nucleotide non-coding RNA. Lineage: Eukaryota; Metazoa; Arthropoda; Arachnida; Ixodida; Ixodidae. The record is from RefSeq and is a predicted model, not a curated record.
CCAACUGCAACGAAAUUUCGCUUUGGCUAAAUUGACUAGAAAUGAAUAGCGUGUACUCUCAGAGCAAUCUUUGCGAAGCCGCAGGGCUAUAGUAACUGCCUAAUUUUGUUACUAGCAGGUAUUAAAUAGCGCCUGUGCAGACGACGCGCGCACCUGGCCGGAAAGCGGCAGCGAUGCGGACGUGGCGAAUGUUGAAGAGCCGUACGCAACUGCGGCUUGGCGGCCAGGCGCAUUGCUCGCUCAUCAUUUGCGUGUAGACGGGCGUCUCUCCCGGCGCGCGUUCUCCCUGUUGUGCUCGUGAUUUGCGCCGUUGCAAGAAUGUCGACUCGUUGCGUGGCCGUCGGGUGCUUGAACACGUACGCGACGCCCUGGGACUAGCUCGCACACAUUUCCAACAAACCAAAACGUGCGAAAGCUGUGGGUGCUUGCAAUGCGGCGCGAGAACAGGCAGCCGACGAGAACCAGCAGGCUUUGUUCGGUGCACUUCAAGAACGACGACUUCGUGUACGAAAUGUUUGGUUGCGGGAGUGCGGUGCAAAAUGAAGAGGGUGCUCAAGCCUGACUCGGUGCCUUCCGCCUUCAGCUACAAUGGCUACAAUAGCAGCAGCGAGCAGUCUACGCCAUAUGAAGCGAUGUGCCGAUGACAUGGGUGACUCGGCUUGCUGCCCUACAUGUAGUAACAAAAAACCUAGGACGUCCAAGUGGUUUUAGGGAAGGCCUGUGCAGAAAAGGCUACAAUAACAACAGUUCUACAGAAAACCAGUCGUAUGCAGACAAAUGAGUGCCGAUUUCGACCAGGGCUUGGCCGCAGUUUCUCACCUAUCAAGGAUUGGGCACCGUGCUAUGACCUGCCUCACCUUGCUCAGAGCGCGAAAGCAGAAAUUAGUGAUGAUGAAAAUUUCAAUGUGGACAUAAUUGACAUGCAAGAUGAAAGUUUUGCACUGCCAGAGGCAAGCAUCCAUCAAGUGCCUGCAAGCAUGGAUGUGGUUUCAGAGAUGAAGUACAUUGUCUUUAAAAUCUGCCUCAUGCAUUUGUUUUAACGCUGCAGAACUUGUCAGGCUACUUGCAGUGUGAAAAAAACAACAGAUGGAAGCCUUUUGCGUGUCGCAGCAACGUGUACAUCACAGCACGUAUUGUCAUGGGAACCCCAGUCAUCACUAAAUCGAAAAGCUAUUGGCAACAUCCUUGUUGCUGGUUUGUUCAUUUCUCAUGGCAUAUAGAAUAGAGAAAAAAAUGAAUGACCAGUUGGUUACAUUUCUGAAUUAUCGGAAACAUUUUACCUAACAUUAAAAAUUUACAUGCGGUGGGUCAAAUUUCCUCACUGCCACCUUUUACGGGAUUUAGGUGGUUUUAGGCAAGUAGCCGGGUGGCUGGCACAGGCAACAUUAACUUAAUUGAGUGUGUAUUUAUACUCUUCGUUCUCCCCCUUCACCCCUUAAUAUUUUCUUUUGCAGUCAGCGAAUCUUCAGUACCUGUUUCAGGAUCCGAGAACCAUCGUCUUUAAAAUAAAAUUUGUUGCUGAUAAA